This is a long non-coding RNA of Xiphophorus hellerii (green swordtail), 2136 nucleotides long. RefSeq lists it as uncharacterized. Lineage: Eukaryota; Metazoa; Chordata; Actinopteri; Cyprinodontiformes; Poeciliidae. The transcript has 3 exons. The record is from RefSeq and is a predicted model, not a curated record.
GAAAGUCUCAUUGCUUAAGGCGAGAUCACACCUAUUAAAAAUAAAAGGUGUGAAAACUGAUGAGGUUGAAGUGAGAAACUGCUCAAAAGUGCUUUUAGCUUUCAGUGUCUCUGCUGAACUCAGGGGAUGAGGAUCCAGUUUAACAACAGAGACUUAUCGAGGUCAUAGACAAAAUUAUUAAAACAUAUUUAUCUGCAGACCUUUGAGACUUUAAAGAUGGCCAAAGACUCACCUGAAAUGAUUUAUGAAAAUGUUCAAACGAUUCCAAAAGCGAGAAAAAAGGAACCAUCAAAAACUUGUUCCUGCCGUCUGUUGUGUUUGUGGAUAAUUAGCUUCCUCCUGGUGGGAAGCAUUGCAGUCAACAUCUGGAUGUGUCUUCAGAUGUACAAACAGAAAGCAACUUUCCAGGAGCUGGAGAUGAAGAUGGGAAAAGUACAAAAUUACAGUGAAGUGCUGACUCAUGAGAAUAAUGACCUGAACUUAUGGCUGAGCUUUUUUCUGAAAUUCAAAAAUGUUCAAGUCUCAAAAUACUGCAAUGGUGAAAGUGAGUUGGUAUCAUGUGACCUUCCUGAAAACAAAACAAAUUACUCCUAAUUGAUGCUGAAAGUCGCUCCGUCUCCCUGUUUGUUUCACGUUGACAGAGUGUCAGCCGUGUCAGGAAGGAUGGGUUGAGUUUCAGAAAAAGUGCUAUCUGUUUAUUGAUGAACACCCUUGGAAAACCUGGAAGGAAAGCGAUGAGCUCUGCAAAAGCAAAUCCGCAGAUCUGGUCGUUAUUGAUCACCUGCAAGAACAGGUGAGCUCUAGGACGGCUUCAUCUUUUAAAAUUACAUUUUUAACUUUUAAAAUAUAAUUGUAAUCAUUUUAAACCAAAUGACUUUCAGGAGUUUCUCAGUAAACAGAUUAAGUAUUACUAUGGCAAAUAUCAUGGAUACUGGUUGGGCUUACGUGAAAUUAACAACAGAUGGGUGUGGACUGACGGACGUAAUGACACUCUUGGGUAAGAAAUUUUAAUUAAAAGUAAAAUAAACACAAGAAAUAAAUAAGAUAAAACACCGACUGUUUGUCGUCACCUUCCUCAAAUAAUCACCGAAAUCCAUUUUUUGGGGAAAAACUUGAAUGAAUGUUUAAAUCAAGAUUAAAUCCACCUGGUCAGAGUUUAUAUUGAAACCAAAUAAUUAAAACAUUGACCAGAGGUGGACAGAGCAGAUAAAACUUUUACUCAAGUAAAAGUACAAAAGUAUUUGGUACCACAUUAAGUCAUUUUCCUUAAGUAUUUUGGAGUUACAUUCCUCAGAAAAAUCACAAAAUGUGAGGUUCUAUUCUUCGGCAAUCAGUUCUCGCCGUGACCUUGUAAUGUUUCUCUAUCAUUUCUGUUUAUAUUCAUUCAGUUUAGAACUAGCAGAAUUUAACAGUCACUAAUGUUUUGAAGGUUCUGGAUAGGAUCAGUUCAUGGUUCCCCUGGUCCGUUUGCUCUGCUGAUCCCAGGAAAAACUCCGACAAAGAGUUGGGACACAUCAGAUAACGCCUUUCUGAACAAAUUCAUCUGCGAGCAAGAAGCCCUGCUGAAGCUUGAAACUAGAGCAGGGUGUCAGACCUUUGACCCGACGCUGGGGGUUUGCAGAAACAUUUCUCAAAUGUCUGCUACCUAAAUGAGCUUUUCUUGAUCUCCUGCUCCAACAGCAAACAGAGUUUGCAGCUCGUUUAGGCGCAGCAGCUCGUUUAGGCGCAGCAGCUCGUUUAGGCGCAGCAGCUCGUUUAGGCGCAGCAGCUCGUUUAGGCGCAGCAGCUCAUUUAGGCGCAGCAGCUCGUAAGUCUGUUUGUGGUUAUGACAGAGAAAUGUGUUGCUUUGAAAUUACAACCACAGACAAGAUAGAGACAAAGUAAAAACAUUUUAACAUUUUGCAACUUUGAAUUUGUCUUUGUAAAAAGUGUUGCAUCGUAUUUAUGUGAAUAUGUGUUAAGAUGCAUGCUGGUUUUCACAGCUUCUACUCAUUUUAAAUAAUAUUUCUGCUGAUAUCUGCACAGAUUAGCAUUGUGUUCUUUAUUCAGUUUUUUAAAAUGUGUUUUUAUUCUUAUGAAUCUUUUUGCUUUGAUUGCUUUUCACUUUGCUGAUGUAACAAAAUUUGACAAACAAUA